Non-coding RNA from Oryza glaberrima (African rice), 258 nucleotides. NCBI's taxonomy places the organism in Eukaryota, Viridiplantae, Streptophyta, Magnoliopsida, Poales, Poaceae. The record is from Rfam.
GUGCCAUGCAUCUCUCUUAUCAAGUUAUUUCUGACAGCGGGGAAUUCAUUGACUGACUUGGCCUUGAUUGAUGAUCCAUCAACUCGUGGCUUUGCGCAGUGGGGAAUUUUCCGCAAUGGGCGAAAGCCUGACGGAGCAAUGCCGCGUGGAGGUGGAAGGCCCACGGGUCGUCAACUUCUUUUCUCGGAGAAGAAACAAUGACGGUAUCUGAGGAAUAAGCAUCGGUAGUCUCGCCCUGCUUCAAAACUACAGGGCGCA